Oreochromis aureus is the source of this 898-nucleotide long non-coding RNA. The record is from Ensembl. Lineage: Eukaryota; Metazoa; Chordata; Actinopteri; Cichliformes; Cichlidae.
ACCAAGGUAAGUUGAAAGUUAAGAAGUGGUCCAAAAAGUUGACUCGUUUCUAUUUUUGAGGACAGAGUUCAGUUCCUUUAAAAAACACUAUAUUUGAAAACACCCUGAGACGCAAGGUACCUAAGUAAAUCGAAAUAACUCUGCACUUCCAAUCCCACAGAUGAAGUUCCCAGUUGAAGACAUGUGGCUGUGCCCUGUGAACUUUGGUACACACUGGAUUCUUGUGGUAUGUGUUCAUUUAGUUAUUGAUUUGCGUAAUUUGUUGUGAAGCAGUUUCUUAUUCUUAAAUAGGUUUUCAGUGGCAAAAGCUAUUGUAAUUUUUAAUUUAUUAACUUUUUCUUUAGAUUGUCAACAUUUCUGCACAGAAAAUACUGCUCAUAGACCCCAUGGGGAAUGAAGGUGUUUAUGACAGGAAAAUUCUGCGCAACUGGAGGAAUUUUCUGAGGAUGAGAGGGCAUGAAGACACCAUGGAGUGGCAGUUACACACUAUGCAACACAACAAGCAACAGGAUUCCAGCAGUUGCGGAGUUUUGCUGUUAAAGUUUGCAGAACACUACCUUGCUUUUGGAGAGGUCAGUGAAGUAUUAACCACUACAGAAGCAGUUGUGCUGGAGCGAAUGCAGAUAGCUUGCACCCUACUUGAACAUCGAGGGAACGCUGAGGACUACUGCAUUGUUUGCUCUAUGUUAGAUGCUGACGCUGAUCGCAGCAUGAUUGAAAUGGUGCAGUGUGAAUCUUGCCAAAGAUGGGCACAUUUUGCAUGUGCAAAAUAUAAAGACAGCAACCAAGAAUAUAAAUGCAAAAAAUGUAGGAAAACACAUAACAACUUCUAAUAAAAACAGCUGUCUUUUCCCCUCCAUGUCUCUUUGCAUUCUUUGUCAACAUUAGAUGAUUGUGU